Etheostoma spectabile (orangethroat darter) is the source of this 83-nucleotide non-coding RNA. The record is from the annotation of a RefSeq genome assembly. NCBI's taxonomy places the organism in Eukaryota, Metazoa, Chordata, Actinopteri, Perciformes, Percidae.
GUUGUUGUGGCCGAGUGGUUAAGGCGAUGGACUACGAAUUCAUUGGGAUUUUACUUGUGCAGGUUCAAAUUCUGCCAACAAUG